This 253-nucleotide ribosomal RNA is filed under the name uncultured bacterium. RNAcentral describes it as "partial 16S ribosomal RNA". It matches the Rfam family "Bacterial small subunit ribosomal RNA", at positions 524 to 776 of the family's 1533-position model. The record is from RNAcentral.
UACGUAGGCAGCAAGCGUUGUUCGGAGUUACUGGGCGUAAAGGGCGUGUAGGCGGUUGGAUAAGUGUGGUGUGAAAUCUCCCGGCUCAACUGGGAGGGUGCGCUACAAACUGUCUGACUAGAGUGUGGGAUGGGAAAGUGGAAUUCCUGGUGUAGCGGUGAAAUGCGUAGAUAUCAGGAGGAACACCGGUGGUGUAGACGGCUUUCUGGGCCAUAACUGACGCUGAGACACGAAAGCGUGGGUAGCAAACAGG